This 495-nucleotide ribosomal RNA is filed under the name uncultured bacterium. RNAcentral's name for it is "partial 16S ribosomal RNA". It matches the Rfam family "Bacterial small subunit ribosomal RNA", at positions 30 to 507 of the family's 1533-position model. The record is from RNAcentral.
UGAACGCUGGCCGCGUGCCUAAUACAUGCACGUCGAGCGAACAGACGAGGAGCUUGCUCCUCUGACGUUAGCGGCGGACGGGUGAGUAACACGUGGAUAACCUACCUAUAAGACUGGGAUAACUUCGGGAAACCGGAGCUAAUACCGGAUAAUAUAUUGAACCGCAUGGUUCAAUAGUGAAAGACGGUUUUGCUGUCACUUAUAGAUGGAUCCGCGCCGCAUUAGCUAGUUGGUAAGGUAACGGCUUACCAAGGCAACGAUGCGUAGCCGACCUGAGAGGGUGAUCGGCCACACUGGAACUGAGACACGGUCCAGACUCCUACGGGAGGCAGCAGUAGGGAAUCUUCCGCAAUGGGCGAAAGCCUGACGGAGCAACGCCGCGUGAGUGAUGAAGGUCUUCGGAUCGUAAAACUCUGUUAUUAGGGAAGAACAAAUGUGUAAGUAACUAUGCACGUCUUGACGGUACCUAAUCAGAAAGCCACGGCUAACUACGUG